GACGAACGCUGGCGGCGUGCUUAACACAUGCAAGUCGAACGGAAAGGCCCUGCUUUUGUGGGGUGCUCGCGUGGCGAACGGGUGAGUAACACGUGAGUAACCUGCCCUUGACUUUGGGAUAACUUCAGGAAACUGGGGCUACUACCGGCUAGGAGCUCCUGCUGCAUGGUGGGGGUUGGAAAGUUUCGGCGGUUGGGGCUGGACUCGCGGCUUAUCAGUUUGUUGGUGGGGUAGCGGCUUACCAAGGCUUUGACGGGUAGCCGGCCUGGGAGGGUGACCGGGCACAUUGGGACUGAGAUACGGCCCAGACUCCUACGGUAGGCAGCAGGGGGGAAUAUUGCACAAUGGGCGGAAGCGUGAUGCAGCAACGCUGCGUGCGGGAUGACGGCCUUCGUGUUGUAAACCGCUUUCGCCUGUGACGAAGCGUGAGUGACGGUAAUGGGUGAAGAAGCACCGGCUAACUACGUG
RNAcentral lists this ribosomal RNA (468 nucleotides) under uncultured bacterium. RNAcentral describes it as "partial 16S ribosomal RNA". It matches the Rfam family "Bacterial small subunit ribosomal RNA", at positions 28 to 507 of the family's 1533-position model. The record is from RNAcentral.